GGGGGUGUAGCUCAGUUGGGAGAGCGCUAGCUUCGCAUGUUAGAGGUCGGGGGUUCGAGCCCCCUCAUCUCCACCA
This 76-nucleotide transfer RNA is filed under the name Erysipelotrichaceae bacterium. Its description in RNAcentral is "tRNA-Ala". It matches the Rfam family "tRNA". Rfam says of the family: Transfer RNA (tRNA) molecules are approximately 80 nucleotides in length. Their secondary structure includes four short double-helical elements and three loops (D, anti-codon, and T loops). Further hydrogen bonds mediate the characteristic L-shaped molecular structure. tRNAs have two regions of fundamental functional importance: the anti-codon, which is responsible for specific mRNA codon recognition, and the 3' end, to which the tRNAs corresponding amino acid is attached (by aminoacyl-tRNA synthetases). tRNAs cope with the degeneracy of the genetic code in two manners: having more than one tRNA (with a specific anti-codon) for a particular amino acid; and 'wobble' base-pairing, i.e. permitting non-standard base-pairing at the 3rd anti-codon position. The record is from RNAcentral. RNAcentral also lists the same sequence under 1 other name. Lineage: Bacteria; Bacillati; Bacillota; Erysipelotrichia; Erysipelotrichales; Erysipelotrichaceae.